GAUGAACGCUAGCGGCAGGCUUAAUACAUGCAAGUCGUGGGGCAGCAUGAGUAGCAAUACUUGAUGGCGACCGGCAAACGGGUGCGGAACACGUACACAACCUUCCGAUAAGUGGGGAAUAGUCCAGAGAAAUUUGGAUUAAUACCCCGUAACAUAUAGAGUAGGCAUCUUCUUUAUAUUAUAGCUUCGGCGCUUAUUGAUGGGUGUGCGUCUGAUUAGGUAGUUGGCGGGGUAACGGCCCACCAAGCCUACGAUCAGUAGCUGAUGUGAGAGCAUGAUCAGCCACACGGGCACUGAGACAAGGGCCCGACUCCUACGGGAGGCAGCAGUAAGGAAUAUUGGACAAUGGGCGAAAGCUUGAUCCAGCCAUGCCGCGUGAAGGAUUAAGGUCCUCUGGAUUGUAAACUUCUUUUAUUUGGGACGAAAAAAGGGAAUUCUUUCCCACUUGACGGUACCAAGUGAAUAAGCACCGGCUAACUCCGUGCCAGCAGCCGCCGUAA
RNAcentral lists this ribosomal RNA (500 nucleotides) under uncultured bacterium. RNAcentral's name for it is "partial 16S ribosomal RNA". It matches the Rfam family "Bacterial small subunit ribosomal RNA", at positions 28 to 523 of the family's 1533-position model. The record is from RNAcentral.